AACGCACCUUGCGCCCUUUGGUAUUCCGAAGGGCAUGCCUGUUUGAGUGUCAUGAAACCUCACCCCACCUGGGUUUUUGCCCGAGCGGUGGUGGAUUGGGUGUCUGCCGUUACUGGCUCACCUUAAAAGCAUAAGCAACUUUGGAUGUAAUACGUUUCAUCCUUACGAGUGGCUGAUAACUCCACAUAACUCAUGAUCUGGCCUCAAAUCAGGUAGGGCUACCCGCUGAACUUAA
Molecule: unclassified non-coding RNA, 235 nt
Filed under: uncultured Tremellales
Lineage: Eukaryota; Fungi; Basidiomycota; Tremellomycetes; Tremellales
Description: sequence contains ITS2
Rfam family: 5.8S ribosomal RNA (bases 1-52)
Source: RNAcentral